This is a long non-coding RNA of Oncorhynchus keta (chum salmon), 678 nucleotides long. RefSeq lists it as uncharacterized. The record is from RefSeq and is a predicted model, not a curated record. The transcript has 3 exons. Lineage: Eukaryota; Metazoa; Chordata; Actinopteri; Salmoniformes; Salmonidae.
ACUAGACAGAGACGGGAGAGAGAGAGCAAGGUAAUAACUAGACAGAGACGGGAGACAGAAAGCAAGGUAAUAACUAGACAGAGAUCAAGGUAAUAACUAGUCAGACGGGAGAGAGAGAGCAAGGUAAUAACUAGACAGAGAUGGGAGAGAGAGAGCAAGGUAAUAACUAGACAGAGAGCAAGGUAAUAACUAGACAGAGAUGGGAGAGAGAGCAAGGUAAUAACUAGACAGAGAGCAAGGUAAUAACUAGACAGAGAUCAAGGUAAUAACUAGUCAGACUGGAGAGAGAGAGCAAGGUAAAUACUAGACAGAGAUGGGAGACAGAAAACAAGGUAAUAACUAGGCAGAGACGGGAGACAGAGAGCAAGGUAAUAACUAGACAGAGAGCAAUGUAAUAACUAGACAGAGACGGGAGACAGAAAGCAAGGUCAUAACUAGACAGAGAGCAAGGUAAUAACUAGACAGAGCGGGGAGAGAGAGAGCAAGGUAAUAACUAGACAGAGAGCAAGGUAAUAACUAGACAGAGACGGAGACAGAAAGCAAGGUAAUAACUAGACAGAGAGCAAGGUAAUAACUAGACAGAGACGGAGACAGAAAGCAAGGUAAUAACUAGACAGAGAGCAAGGUAAUAACUGGACAGAGACGGAGACAGAGAGCAAGGUAAUAACUGGACAGAGA